UACGUAGGGGGCUAGCGUUGUCCGGAAUCAUUGGGCGUAAAGCGCGCGUAGGCGGCCCGGUAAGUCCGUUGUGAAAGUCAAAGGCUCAACCUUUGAAUGCCGAUGGAUACUGCCGGGCUCGAGUCCGGAAGAGGCGAGUGGAAUUCCUGGUGUAGCGGUGGAAUGCGCAGAUAUCAGGAGGAACACCAAUAGCGAAGGCAGCUCGCUGGGACGGUACUGACGCUAAGGAGCGAAAGCGUGGGGAGCGAACAGG
Molecule: ribosomal RNA, 253 nt
Filed under: uncultured bacterium
Lineage: Bacteria
Description: partial 16S ribosomal RNA
Rfam family: Bacterial small subunit ribosomal RNA
Source: RNAcentral